Non-coding RNA from Pelobates cultripes (western spadefoot toad), 235 nucleotides. Lineage: Eukaryota; Metazoa; Chordata; Amphibia; Anura; Pelobatidae. The record is from the annotation of a GenBank genome assembly.
CUAUCUCAAUGUCCUAUGAUAGCAUAGGAUUACUGUUUAAGUUAGUACAACACAGAUAUGUUCCUCUAAUGAAUAUAUCAUAAAAUGCUGUCUAUGGUUAGUUAAUCAUAAAAGUACAGAAACCAACUCUUCACAUUCCAGAAGUCAUUUUUAAAGAGCCCAAGACCUCGGAAUGUUGUAAUUUAAAGAAAACUGACAUGAUGUGUAGAAACAAGAAAGAAAGCAUUGUAUGCAC